Molecule: transfer RNA, 71 nt
Filed under: Paraconotrochus antarcticus
Lineage: Eukaryota; Metazoa; Cnidaria; Anthozoa; Scleractinia; Caryophylliidae
Description: tRNA-Met
Rfam family: tRNA
About the family: Transfer RNA (tRNA) molecules are approximately 80 nucleotides in length.
Source: RNAcentral
AGUGGGGUAGACAAAAGGAUUGUUACCGGGCUCAUACCCCGGGGGUGUGGGUUCAAGUCCCACCUCCAUUU